CUACGGGCCGCUCCAGUGAGGAAUAUUGCACAAUGGGGGGAACCCUGAUGCAGCAACGCCGCGUGGAGGAUGACGCCUUUCGGUGUGGAAAAGCCUUUUAUAUGUCAAGAAAAUGACGGUAGCAUAUGAAUAAGCACCGGCUAACUCCGUGCCAGCAGCCGCGGUAAUACGGAGGGUGCAAGCGUUACUCGGAAUCACUGGGCGUAAAGGACGCGUAGGCGGGUUGGAAAGUCAGGUGUGAAAUCCUACAGCUUAACUGUAGAACUGCGCUUGAAACUUCUAAUCUAGAGUAUGGGAGGGGGAGAUGGAAUUAGUGGUGUAGGGGUAAAAUCCGUAGAUAUCACUAGGAAUACCUAAAGCGAAGGCGAUCUCCUGGAACAUUACUGACGCUAAGGCGUGAAAGCGUGGGGAGCAAACAGGAUUAGAUACCCGCGUAGUC
RNAcentral lists this ribosomal RNA (439 nucleotides) under uncultured bacterium. RNAcentral describes it as "partial 16S ribosomal RNA". It matches the Rfam family "Bacterial small subunit ribosomal RNA", at positions 339 to 795 of the family's 1533-position model. The record is from RNAcentral.